Molecule: non-coding RNA, 178 nt
Filed under: Bacillota bacterium
Lineage: Bacteria; Bacillati; Bacillota
Also listed under: 4 other names
Description: 6S RNA
Rfam family: 6S / SsrS RNA
About the family: E. coli 6S RNA was the first non coding RNA to be sequenced, but its function was unknown until recently. It consists of 184 nucleotides that fold into an extended hairpin structure with a large single-stranded internal bulge.
Source: RNAcentral
AUUAUCCUGCGGUGUGCGUUGGUCUAUUGUUUUUAACCCACAGAGUUAAUAUGGGAAUCCGCGUUUGUUUCCUAAUACCAGGCCCUAUCAUAGGGGAAGGUAGAUGUAGACAACAGGUAUCCCACCUGUCGAGAGGCGGGUAUUGAAAAUGAUAGGUAAACGGCAUCUUGGGAUAAUA